AAUUAGGGCUUCUAGGGUUCCGGUUUAAAUCCCAGGGUUUAAAUGACUGGUCCGAGAGAAGCAAGCCAGCCUGAGAUUGGUUUCAGUAUCAGCAAUUAAGGUUUGGUUACACGGCGGGAAAAAAGCCCGGGAGGU
This 135-nucleotide small RNA is filed under the name Oxynema acuminatum PCC 6304. Its description in RNAcentral is "Oscillatoria acuminata PCC 6304 Guanidine-I riboswitch aptamer". It matches the Rfam family "Guanidine-I riboswitch aptamer". From Rfam's summary of the family: This family represents a conserved RNA structure found upstream of the ykkC and yxkD genes in Bacillus subtilis and related genes in other bacteria. The function of this family is unclear although it has been suggested that it may function to switch on efflux pumps and detoxification systems in response to harmful environmental molecules. Nelson showed that this riboswitch senses and responds to guanidine and it was renamed Guanidine-I riboswitch. Lineage: Bacteria; Bacillati; Cyanobacteriota; Cyanophyceae; Oscillatoriales; Oscillatoriaceae. RNAcentral also lists the same sequence under 1 other name. The record is from Rfam by way of RNAcentral.